GUAUCCUUACCUGAAUACAUAGGGUAAGGAGGCGAACCGGGGGAACUGAAACAUCUAAGUACCCCGAGGAAAAGAAAUCAACCGAGAUUCCGAAAGUAGCGGCGAGCGAAAUUGGACUAGCCCUUAAGCUUUACACGCGUUAGACGAACGGUCUGGAAAGUCCGACGAUACAGGGUGAUAGUCCCGUAGUUGACGACGUGUGUUCAGUGAAAUCGAGUAGGGCGGGACACGUGAUAUCCUGUCUGAAUAUGGGGGGACCAUCCUCCAAGGCUAAAUACUACUGACUGACCGAUAGUGAACCAGUACCGUGAGGGAAAGGCGAAAAGAACCCCUGUGAGGGGAGUGAAAUAGAACCUGAAACCGUGUACGUACAAGCAGUAGGAGCACCUUCGUGGUGUGACUGCGUACCUUUUGUAUAAUGGGUCAGCGACUUAUAUUCAGUGGCAAGGUUAACCAUCUAGGGGAGCCGUAGGGAAACCGAGUCUUAACUGGGCGUUCAGUCUCUGGAUAUAGACCCGAAACCAGGUGAUCUAGCCAUGGGCAGGUUGAAGGUUGAGUAACAUCAACUGGAGGACCGAACCGACUAAUGUUGAAAAAUUAGCGGAUGACUUGUGGCUAGGGGUGAAAGGCCAAUCAAACCUGGAGAUAGCUGGUUCUCCCCGAAAGCUAUUUAGGUAGCGCCUCGGACGAAUACUACUGGGGGUAGAGCACUGUUAAGGCUAGGGGGUCAUCCCGACUUACCAACCCUUUGCAAACUCCGAAUACCAGUAAGUACUAUCCGGGAGACACACGGCGGGUGCUAACGUCCGUCGUGGAGAGGGAAACAACCCAGACCGCCAGCUAAGGUCCCAAAUUACUACUAAGUGGGAAACGAUGUGGGAAGGCUCAGACAGCCAGGAUGUUGGCUUAGAAGCAGCCAUCAUUUAAAGAAAGCGUAAUAGCUCACUGGUCGAGUCGGCCUGCGCGGAAGAUGUAACGGGGCUAAGUAGUAAACCGAAGCUGCGGCAAU
Molecule: ribosomal RNA, 1009 nt
Filed under: Vibrio parahaemolyticus
Lineage: Bacteria; Pseudomonadati; Pseudomonadota; Gammaproteobacteria; Vibrionales; Vibrionaceae
Description: partial 23S ribosomal RNA
Rfam family: Bacterial large subunit ribosomal RNA
Source: RNAcentral